This 1617-nucleotide long non-coding RNA is filed under the name Oncorhynchus kisutch (coho salmon). RNAcentral describes it as "lncRNA (ENSOKIG00005014772.1)". The record is from RNAcentral. Lineage: Eukaryota; Metazoa; Chordata; Actinopteri; Salmoniformes; Salmonidae.
AUAUUAAAUUAACAUGAGUUUAUGUUUAGAUUUCUAUGAUUUUUAUCAAUAUCCCAUAUAACAGGCAUAUGGUAUUUGUGGGGUUUCAAAUCUCUCUCUCUCUCUCUCUCUCUCUCUCUCUCUCUCUCUCUCUCUCUCUCUCUCUCUCUCUCUCUCUCUUUCUCUCUCCGUCUGUCUGUGUUCUUGUUUGGAAGAACUAUUUGGAAGAAAUUCAAGAUUUCAAGGACGCACGGAUUUGAAUUUAACUGGAGAGGCUGAGAGCUGAGGGGAAGAGUGACAUAAAGAGGAGAGAAGUUCAUUAUCCAGCUGAAAAGGAAACCAAUGGCUUUCACAGUCUCCAUGGGAACCAGCCUUUCUUUUGCUGUCAAACCUAUGAUAAGAAACCCUCUCCUUUCUCCCACUCCAAGGCAGCCCUUUUCAAACCGGGAAGCUCCAGGUCAGUUUCCCUUUCCAAGUUUUACGGCCUGCCAUGUUGUCCAUUCUGCUCAGCUAUUUAAAAAAUGUUGAAUAUCAACAAUGGCUUUCACUGGUGUAUUGUCAACUUUUGUAUGAAGCAAUCUUGGCUGAAUGAGAUGGGUCCCAGAGCAGGGAGGGCUUGGCUGCGGCAUGCACCGCAACACCACUGGCGCCUGCCUGGCUCUCUCUCUCUCUCUCUCUCUCUCUCUCUCUGCUGCAGGCAGGAUCAGGGAGGCAGGAGCAGCCGUCCCUCUAGUCCCUGUCUCAGCCCAGCCGCUGGGGUCUGGAUGGGGCUGGGAAAGCCACCCCCUCGUCAGUCCUCUCUGCAAACUCAUCCUCAUCUCAGGUUCCCCUCCCCCUGCCUCUGGCCCUGUCGUCUGGGAGCCCCUGAAGGUGUGACACCUCACACAGGAAUCGGAGAGCAGGAGCCCGGGGGCCAGUCAGAGCUGGGUAGCCGUGCCAACCCCAUUGGAGAUGUAUGUUUGAAGAUAAUUGUAGGAAAUCCUCCACCCAACCCAGAGAAACCCUCUCCUGGUCAGCAGCAACCCUGGAGUACCCUACUACCUGACAGGGGCAGCUGGUCCCAGGGGAGCAGUUCCCCUUCCAGGAGCGACAGCAGCACCUCUCCCACCCUCCUCACCUCAACACAGCAUCACAGGCCUGGAAGAACCAGUUCAAUCACCAUCUAGAUCACAAUCACCAUUGACUACGGGUCAUUCUUGAAUUGAAUAGGCAUUUCAUUUUUCUAGAAUAAAAAAAAAUAUAUAUUUGGUUACUUCUUCCCAUUCCAAAUGAACUAAUGACAGCUUAGUUACUUUAAAAAGUCUUUAUCAUUAUGAUAAUAUCAGUGCCACCAGUAGGUGUAGUAACACCAAUGACAGUAACACCAAUGAUAAAUUGGUAAUUGAGGAUUUCCUUAAAUGGAGGCCACAUAUGCUCAAAUCUAAGGUCAUUAACACUUUAAAGAUAAUUUACAAAAGUUGUGAUUAAUCAUUUUGCUCACAAUUUAAUUUCCCUUCAUUUUAAUUGGGUUACACCAAUUACACUUUUUACUUAGAGACACCAAAUUAUCAAUGGACUCCUCAAAUGUAUGACAUACUAAAAGGGUGUAAAAAGCUAAUAAUUUUCUUUAAAGACCCGAUAACGGUUUGCCACUGCAGG